AUUGAACGCUGGCGGCAUGCCUUACACAUGCAAGUCGAACGGUAACAGGGAGCUUGCUCCGCUGACGAGUGGCGAACGGGUGAGUAAUGUAUCGGAACGUACCUUUUAGUGGGGGAUAACGUAGCGAAAGUUACGCUAAUACCGCAUAUUCCCUGAGGAGGAAAGCAGGGGACCUUCGGGCCUUGCGCUAAUAGAGCGGCUGAUAUCAGAUUAGCUAGUUGGUGAGGUAAAGGCUCACCAAGGCGACGAUCUAUAGCGGGUCUGAGAGGAUGAUCCGCCACACUGGAACUGAGACACGGUCCAGGCUCCUACGGGAGGCAGCAGUGGGGAAUUUUGGACAAUGGGGGCAACCCUGAUCCAGCCAUGCCGCGUGAGUGAAGAAGGCCUUCGGGUUGUAAAGCUCUUUCGGCCGGGAAAAAAUCGCAUGGGUUAAUACCCUGUGUGGAUGAUGGUACCGGAAUAAGAAGCACCGGCUAACUACGUGCCAGCCGCCGCAGUAA
This 500-nucleotide ribosomal RNA is filed under the name uncultured bacterium. Its description in RNAcentral is "partial 16S ribosomal RNA". It matches the Rfam family "Bacterial small subunit ribosomal RNA", at positions 30 to 523 of the family's 1533-position model. The record is from RNAcentral.